Molecule: ribosomal RNA, 474 nt
Filed under: uncultured Lutibacter sp.
Lineage: Bacteria; Pseudomonadati; Bacteroidota; Flavobacteriia; Flavobacteriales; Flavobacteriaceae
Description: bacterial SSU rRNA
Rfam family: Bacterial small subunit ribosomal RNA
Source: RNAcentral
CAAAGGAAUUGACGGGGCCGCACAAGCGGUGGAGCAUGUGGUUAAUCGAUGAUACGCGAGGAACCUUACCAGGGCUUAAAUGUAGGUUGCAUUAGACAGAGAUGUUUAUUUCUUCGGACUACUUACAAGGUGCUGCAUGGUUGUCGUCAGCUCGUGCCGUGAGGUGUCAGGUUAAGUCCUAUAACGAGCGCAACCCCUGUCGUUAGUUGUCCAGCAUGUAAAGAUGGGGACUCUAACGAGACUGCCGGUGCAAACCGCGAGGAAGGUGGGGAUGACGUCAAAUCAUCACGGCCCUUACGUCCUGGGCUACACACGUGCUACAAUGGUAUGGACAGAGAGCAGCCACUGGGCGACCAGGAGCGAAUCUACAAACCAUAUCACAGUUCGGAUCGGAGUCUGCAACUCGACUCCGUGAAGUUGGAAUCGCUAGUAAUCGCGGAUCAGCACGCCGCGGUGAAUACGUUCCCGGGUCUU